RNAcentral lists this long non-coding RNA (5814 nucleotides) under Lactuca sativa (garden lettuce). RNAcentral's name for it is "long non-coding RNA (LSAT_LNC003736)". The record is from RNAcentral. Lineage: Eukaryota; Viridiplantae; Streptophyta; Magnoliopsida; Asterales; Asteraceae.
UCUUGUUGAGCCAUAGAGUUGUGGAUGAGCCAACAAUGUUUCUGAUGAGCCAUUAGUAUUCCAAAUGAUCCACCAAUAUCUUGAUGCUCUACAUAUGAUCUACAUGUGUCAUCUGAGAUCAUGAUGGUCCAACUUGCUUUCAGCAAGUGCUCCAUGUAAGAUGCAAGUGUUCCAUGUUCAACAAGUGCUCCAUGUUAACUUCAAGUGAUCCAUAUGUAUAACAAGUGCUCCAACAUUUGAUUCUUCAAACACUUGUUGAAUCUUCAAGAUCUUUCCAACCUGAAACAUUCAGAUAAUGUUUGUUAGAAAUUUUAAAUCAAUACUCAACUUAUUUCAAGUGACAAUCACAUAAAAAUAUUUACAACAGGAGUGUAUGCGCAUUGAGUAUGAUAGCAUGAGGAAACUUGGAUCGGGUUAUUGGUGUGGUUCUUAUUUGGCUUAUAGAUUUUAAUUUGGAACAUGAGUACGGCUGCCUAUCUCAUCCUCUGGUUGUGUGCGACCAUGUUUUCAUCUGAUUUUGCAUUGGUAAUAGACUGUGUUGCGAAAGGAACUAUGUGUGAUAGAAGGGUAUGGACUGUGUUGUGUUUGGUUAGUGUUGAUAGGGAUGUUUAUUGGGUCCCUACCAGUAGGAGGAUUGAUGGUUGAGUAUCUUUAAGCUCGUGUGGUGCUGAUCGUGAAUCUUCAGGCCCGUGAUGGGAUGACGUCAAGAUCGGCGUAGUACCGUGAGCUUACAAUUUUAGUGGUUAGAAGGUUUCAUGGUGUAUCAUGAACCAAUGGCUCUAUAAUUCAUAUGAUUGGGACCCACUAGUCAUUUGAUUGAGACUCUUAGGUCUCAGAUCGUUAGUCUUUGGCAUGGUGGAAGUGUUGUAUUACUGUGGGGUGACCUGUAGCAUUCACAAGGCUGGUAGGUAGUUGUGUAAGUGUUGUAAGACUGUAGGAUGGCUCGUAGAAUUCACUAAGUAUAUGAGUAAUUAUGUGAGUGUUGUGAGUCUCCAAUUUUGCUCAUAGCCUUCACCAGAUUGAGUUUGACCAUUUUAGGAAGGGUGGUGAGACUAUGGGAAGGCCACAACAUUCAUGGGGUUGAGGAAGGUUGUAUGCCGAUUUGGGGUUGGGUGGGAUGUAAGACUAUGGUCGGGUCGGUAGCAUUUACGUAGAACAUAGUGGACUAGAUUGUGUUCGUAUGUAGGUCGGUUACGUCGUCCCUUGAGGAAUUCUGGAGCCAUGUUGGGGAACAGGUUAAGGUAACUUUUGACAAUUAGAAUGUCAGGUGGAGUCUCGAAGCACGACCAUGCAUGAGGUUGUUAGUCUCAGUAGACAGUUAAGGAUUCUGCAUCCCAGUUUAGUAGGUCAACAUGGAAUCAAGAGAUUUCGGGUAGAUCAAAUAUGCAAAUCCCUGCUUAUCAGAAUGUGUGUUAUUUAUUGGUCUGGCACCUGGGGUGAAACUAGCAUUGGGAGUCGCCUUGUUUUCAAAUGAAAUGUUUCAGUCGUGAUGAAAAGAUAUGGUAUCCAUCCUUCUAGUGGCCAGCAAAAUAAUUCAGGGUCAGAAGACUUUCUUUCGGUUUGGAUUGUGAAUUGGAGUUUUUAUGGAUGUAGGAUGAGAUAAUUUUAUCUGUUGAGAAGACAACCACUAUUUAGGGUUCCCAGUUUGUGGGCAGAGUAGUUGAGUUUUCUUUCGAUUGCUGAAGACAGAGUGAUAACAUUCAUUUCUUUUCUAAGAGCUGUGAUUUCUGCUAAGAAUGGGCUUUGAUGGCGUCAUUGAAGAGGUUUGUCUAUUAUGAUAGUGGAAGUAGUAAGGAAUGAUACCGAUGAUGAAAUCUAGUUUAAGUGGGGGAGAGUUGUAACAUCCUGUUUCGAGAAGUUCUUAUUUCAGGAUUGUGUACAAUAAAUGGAUCAGAUGAUGCAUUGGGCUUCAUUGGAAUGAAGUUUAGACUCUAUUAGAGGUGUAUGAUGUUGGAUAAAUGAUUUAAACCUUGGAUUGUUCGAUGGAAGCUAAGGGGUAAAAUAGGAAAGGUUAUGUUUCGGGCUUCUUGCAUAAAUUAAGGAUUUUAGUUAGAGAUGUUUUUAUUCAUAAGUGUCACGAUAGAAUUGUAGAUCUCGUUGUUACCUUUACGUGGAUAUAAAGAUCAUCGAAAACAGAGUUGAAACGAAGAAGUUAUGGUUGUUUGAAGUUAAGCUAGAAAAGGAGUCUAGUACGUUGGGCGUACACUAGCUAGUACGUUGGGCGUACUAGGUUAAGGGAAGUCACGUUUUUAGGGUGUUACACAAGGUGUGACUUUAGGUACGUUGGGCAUAUUUUCGCAGUGCAAAAACCCUAUUUUGUGGUUUUGAGCCCUAUUUAAGGACUCUAACCCCUUAGGCUCCUUCCUAACAUCAACCUCAACCAUCUUGAGCCUCCAAGUUGAAACCCUAGCCCCAUAGAUCAAAUCUUGAUCCUUUCUUUAUGUUUUGAGUGCAUUUUGGAUGAAAGAGAAGUUCAAGCUUGUAGAUUAUUGAAGCUUAAGCUUGUGGAUCCAGAGCCUACAUUGUUUUCUCAACUCCAGAAGGUAUAAAGCUUAAAUCUUGAUGAUGCAUUUGUUAGAUCUAGGUAGUUUUGGGUUUUAUGAACUCUUUUGUAAAUUUAGUGCAUAAAGUUUAGAUCUUGAAAGAUAGUGACCUUGUUAUGGAUAAAUUUGGAAAUUUUAUUCAUCUAAAUAUCAUAUUAAUUCAUAUUUGAAGGUUAGAGACUUGGACUUAAUGGAUUAAGUUGAAAAAGAUGCAUUUUUGGUCCAUUUGAGAUUUAAAGACUAGAUCUUGGUUGUUUGGACCAUCCUAAUGGAUAAAUUUGGAAACUUUAUCCAUUAUGGGGCUAUUAGGAGUCAGAAAGAUGUUAUCUUGGCCCCUUUCUUCCCUCCAUGAGUCAUGAUGCGUUGGUUUGUGUAUUAAGUUAGGAUUUUGGUGUAUGGACUCCUUCUAGCCAUGAAAAGUCAUAAAGUUGGAAACUUUAUGACUUAGAAUGUUAUUUGAGAAUAAAUUUGAGCUUUGGACAUGAAAUCUUAAUGAAAUAAGCACUUAAUGAAGGUAAAUGGAAUUAGUCGAGUAUGUCGGGGGUACCUGGUAAUACGUUGACCGGACCAGGAUGGAGCCCCCUAAUCAGGAAGGGAUCAACUAUGCUGAGUGUAGUGACUGAAUACGUUGGACGUACUCAGUCUGUGUUGACCUAAGGGCAUUUUGGGUAAUUUGAAUUAUAGUUUGAGAUUUAGAUACUUGUGAAUUGUAUAGGUGACCGGUAGAGAUAACUUUUGGGGCAGUGAUCGGUAUAACUAUUCUUUCAUACCGUGAGGUGAGUCUUUUCACUAUACUCAUGGGUUGAAGGCACCAAUGUUGUCCCAUUAGAUUGUGCUAAUUGUCUUUGCAACUUUUGCAUGUAUGUUUGGGUUUGAAUACACCCCAAUGAUGGGCCCAUUAUUAUAUGUUGGGUUGAAAUAUAUCCCAAGGCUGGGCGCACUAUUGUAUGUUGGGUUGAAGUAUACCCAGGUUUGGGCCCACUGUUGAAUAUUGGGUUGAAAUAUACCCCAGGGAUGGGCCCACUAUUGUGUGGUGGGUUGAAAUAUACCCCAGGACUGGGCCCACUAUUGUAUGUUGGGUUUAAAUAUACCCCAGGGUUGGGCCCAAUAAUGUAUAUUGGGUUGAAACAUACCCCAGGGUCGGGCCCACUGAUUUGUAUGGUGUGUGGUACUUUGGGGAACUCACUAAACUUUGUAUUUAUAGUUUAUCUUUAUGGUUUCGGGUACUUCCACUUUCAAAAGGAAGGGCAUGGCUUGAUCGCACUGCAUCCCUUGGAGUUUUAUUCCGCACUAAAUGCUUACAAAUUACUCUGAUGUUUUGAGAAUACUUUGACUUUGGUCGUCGUUUGGAACAAUGAAUGAAUGACUUUAACUUAUUUACAAUGAAAUUUUUAUUCGGUAUUUGUGGGACGUUACAACAUGAUAUGGUCGACUUGGUAGACCACAAGCAGGAAAAAACUACACAAAGAUUAUGAAAAAAGGUUAAAUAGUCAGAUCUUCUCAAUGAUAAAAAAAAAAUGGAAGAUAUCAUUAGAAAGUUAUGUUACCUCAACACACACACACAUACAUACACACACACACACACACACAUAUAUAUAUAUAUAUAAAGAAGUCACUCGGAGUUAUAUUGAUCUUAGAGAAAAUUCGAGAUAUGNACAUAACCAACAAAGCCAAAAUUCUUAGCCCUUAUUAAAAGGCUUAAGGUCAACAACAUUUAUCAUGAAAAUGAAAAAGUCAACAUUUUACAAUUUUUCAUAGCUAAUAACACAAAAGUCCAAAAUUUUAGCCAUUUUGACAACAAAAACUAUGAAAGUCAAUACUUUUGACAAAUGAGUCAAUGAUAAAACUUUACAUUCUCUUUACCAUUUUCAUCACUAAUAUGAUCAAUACGGUAGAAGUAUAAAAACAAAAUUUGAUGCACCUACACCCUUUAACACAUAUCAGGUACCUAUCAUCCAGAAAAACAAAAAAAAAAAAAAAAAAAAAAAAAAAAAAAAAAAAGAAANCUAACAUGUUGGUUUAAACAGAAAUAAAAAAAAUGAAUAAUCAAGAGAAAAACCACAAUAAUAUUUAAAUAAACAUGGGAACAAAAAUAAAACAAAUCAAUAACGUGAAGUAUCAAAAAUAAAACAAAUUUACAAACCUAAAAUUGUUGAAGGAGAAAUCAUUUGAUGUUCAUCUCCUAAGCCAAGUCUAUGCAAUUAUGAAGGAAAAAUCAACUCAUGUUCGUCUCCUGGUGUUCAUCAACAACAAACAUUAGAGAAUACAUGAAUAAGAUAUUUCUUGCAUAAAACUCAAAUAACUCAAACAGAAAUAAAAUUCAAAUAGAUAAUAGGGGACAACAAUUUUUCAUAAGAUAUUGUUGUAAUGUUGUUUUUGAUAAAUGCAACUCGAAACUAUCAUCAGAUUUAAGAAUCUCUCAUGGUUCAACCAUCUUCCUGUUGUGCCUAUUUUCUCUUGUUUCGUUUUGAAUUUUCCACUUUAAUCUAUCAUUAUUGCACAAAAAUUUGAAGAUAAUUCGUAACCGUAAGAUAUCUAUUUGAUUUAGAAUGUGAAAUUGUAACUUGAAAAAAUAAGAACUUGAAAGAGCCAUUACAUGAUCGAUUGAGUACUGAUUUGUUGAUUAAGAACUCGACUAAUCGACUCCUUGAUCUCCGCAUACCACUGAAUUUUCAAUUUUCAAGGGUAUCGGCGAAUACCUAUUUCAUCGAUUGUAAUUCUCAAGACUUUAGGCUUCAAUUAUUUGGCAGACCAGUACCUUCAUCUGAAACCCUAAUAUCUUUCUCGACCACCGCCUCUACAACAUCCUUAAUAGUCGUAAUGGCCUCCGCCACCAAUGACGCAACGAUAGGCGCCAAUAGAAAGAGAGUUAACGGAGAUGGUGAUGGUCAGGCUCGGUGGAGAAGAUGGUGAGUAAGAGGGUUUUGAUGCCUUCCUCUUGAGAGAUGAGGGGAUAAAGUAGAGUAGAGAGAACAUACCUGCAACCGAAGGCGAUAUGGUGGCAAGCCAUACAUGAUGGAAGUUGGAAAUCGAGUAUGUAUCUGAGAUCAAAAUGACAACCCUAACCCGAACUGAUCAACGGUGGGGGCUGCAAUUGAGGGAGCCGAACAUGGAAACUGGGAAGCCGCUGACUAAACCAUUUCCAUCGCACAUCGAGGACAACAACAACCUCAAGACCAUCAUCUGUAAUUUAGAGAAACGGUAGAUGAAACAGUGAGGUAAAAGAAUCAAUUAAACAAAAUCGAUAAGGUUGGAAGUGGUGGGCGGUGGG